AACGACUCUCGGCAACGGAUAUCUCGGCUCUCGCAUCGAUGAAGAACGUAGCGAAAUGCGAUACUUGGUGUGAAUUGCAGAAUCCCGCGAACCAUCGAGUCUUUGAACGCAAGUUGCGCGAAGCCUCGGGAYGAAGGYACGCCUGCCUGGGUGUCACAC
Molecule: ribosomal RNA, 159 nt
Filed under: Bruguiera gymnorhiza
Lineage: Eukaryota; Viridiplantae; Streptophyta; Magnoliopsida; Malpighiales; Rhizophoraceae
Description: 5.8S ribosomal RNA
Rfam family: 5.8S ribosomal RNA
About the family: 5.8S ribosomal RNA (5.8S rRNA) is a component of the large subunit of the eukaryotic ribosome. It is transcribed by RNA polymerase I as part of the 45S precursor that also contains 18S and 28S rRNA. Functionally, it is thought that 5.8S rRNA may be involved in ribosome translocation.
Source: RNAcentral